AACGGUCUAUACCUGCGGUACCUGCGGAAGGAUCAUUAACGUAUCUCUGGCGCGCGCCGGUGCGCCCUGCCGCGGCGAAAGCUGCGCGGGUUCCCGGUGCCGUCCAACCUUAACACAAACCCACUGUGCACAUUUGCGGCGGAGGGCCUCGGAUGACUCUCUUAAGUUAGCCAAAUGCCUCGUCAUCUAAUUAGUGACGCGCAUGAAUGGAUUGUGCUCUGGUGUCCGCAUCGAUAACUG
This 240-nucleotide unclassified non-coding RNA is filed under the name soil metagenome. Its description in RNAcentral is "partial contains 5.8S ribosomal RNA, internal transcribed spacer 2, and large subunit ribosomal RNA". The record is from RNAcentral.